GUAAACAAAGGAAGGUUUUUUAAUUUGCCAUGUAACAAACAGUAAUUCUUCUACACAGUCAUUAAUAUGAAGAGAAAAUCAGUUUGUGCAAAUGGGGAUUUAAAAUUUCUAAGUACUGUUCAAAGCAAGUGCUUUAUUUAUAUUUAGUCUGUAUGUUUUGGGGCAGCAAUUCUAGGACAAAUAUUGCCUGUAUGUAUACAGUUACCAGUGCUUCUGAGCCAGUUCUAGAGGCGUAUCAUCCGACUGGAGAUGAAAGGCACAAACUUAAGGAAUCUCUGAUUUCUUUUCCAGAUACUUUCUACUGUGCAUGAACGUUUUGCUUUGGGCAGUAUAUCAUCCAUAUAAUGCUGCCAGAAAAAACAAGCCUUUUAUGCUUGAGGAGGCUUGAGAUGUUUUCUUGCCAGUUGCGAGUCCUACUUCUCAAAGUAAAAGAGAGCAAGUAAUGUCUGUGAAAAAAGUUUUCUUGACAGACGGCAUGCAGGCAGCUCUCCUGUGCUCUGCCAAUCCGUGGUUGCUAGUGACGUUGCAGACAGAAGCAGGCAUGGCAGGAGGGAGCAUGAGCUUUCCAGUGGAACAUGUGACGGUGGAGAUCUGCUUCAGGAGUCUCAACUGGGGCAUCUCUGAACUGGAUUGGACAAUCUUGAUGACUCAAGUUGUUUAGAGAACAGGAAUUCAUGUGUGUGAGUUGCUGGUUUUGUGUGUCUUGUUUGAAGUAUCUGAAAUUAUGUGGAACUGUACUGCAGCCUGUGAGAACGGUGCUUUCCUAGCGUGACAGCAAGGAUGAGAAAGAAAAAUCACCUCCAGAGAACAGCUUAUGUGACACGUUCUAGACAAUAAAACCUUGAAAUAAGAUCAACUGCCUCAUGGCUAACUAGAGGAAGUGAAGGAACUUUCUCUUCACUAGGACAUCAAGAUACAUUGAACUGGGAUUUAAACGGUCUGAAUUGAGGACAAACAGCUUUCCAAUGGCAGGCAGCAAGCACAGCCCGAAAAGACCUUUACCGAGACAUUAAAAAAAAAAAAGUAAAAUCAGUGAGAUGUCCCCAACUGUAUACUACUUAGAGCAAUGAGCCUAGUAAGGUCUGGAACAGCUAGUAACUACUAGAUACGAAGCAAACAGCUGAGCACCUAAAACUGUAUGCAAAGACACCAGAGCCCACUUAACACUCUCAAUUCCAAGCAACUGAAGUUUUCAAUUGCAAAGAACAGGAGCAGCAGCAAACAGAAAUCCCGAACUAACUUUCAAAUGGACUGUUCUUUUGUGUAGAAGUGAGACAAGAACCAAAUGGAUGGAUUUUUUUAUUCCAAGUUUGCAGUGAAGAGAAACAGGUAAAGACAGCUGUAUGGAGGUGUUUCAGACCUGGUGCGUCAGGACAGCGUGGAAUUACUGCGAGAGCAGAAUUUCAAUCAGGUCAUGCUUCAGAUCACCCAAGAGAAAGAUCCAGUGAGAGAGAACAUAGAAAGACUGACAGUGGCAGCGUAAUGCAGGGAAAGAUUCUAAAAUGCCGGGUUUGUGAAUUAAUGUAAUAACAAAAUGGCAGAGGGUACAUGUAGUGAACACGUGUGUUUUAAGCUCAGUUUCCAGUAACUGGUCAGAAGAGGAAGUACUUUAAAGGACAGCUGUCUAGCACGUCAUAGAUUUUCAGCCCUCAAAGUUCCUGAAAAGUAUCCAAAAAUGUCUGGGAAACAUUGAGAAAUCCAGCAUUUCUACAGUGAUUGCGGAUGUUUGAUCAUAAACAGGGUUUGACAGACAAGAACAGACAAAUGUCCUAACAGGAGGUUUCUGUAAAGCCAAAUGUCUUAGUAGUAUUAGGCAGCACUAAGCAAAAGUAUCAGGGAGAAAGAGGGGGGAAAAUAAUUGGAAGUUUAUAUUAAUCCAAGGUUAUCUUUUCUUACACUGGAGUAAAGUCAAACGGUGACAAAUUAGGUCUCAGCUUUCCAAAAAAAUAAAGGGGGCUCCAUUUUAAUGCAGUGGAACAUAACAACAAUGCUAAACAUGAGAUGUGAGGUUCUCACUUACGGACUGGUGUCAGUAGCAGGCACCAUUAACUGAUGAGAAUACUAAAAAUCAUCAUACUACAAGUUACUAAAAACUAUUUUAAAAGUUAUAUUCUAGGCAGAAAAAAAAACUACUGUCAUGCGAUUGAACAUGCGGAGUAAGCAGCGAUCCUUUUCAUAGACACAACAGACAUUCAUUCCUUCAUGAUAGCACGCUUGUUAUCACACGAGCAACACGUCACAGAAUACGGAGCAGAAGUCACUUGACUGGUGUAGGCUUCAGCACAGACUCAGAUAUCUUACAAGCACAACAGGGAGAAUAAGCAAAACAAUUUCAUGCUCUGCUGUGAUAAACCGUUACCAGCUAACUGGCAUUUGGAUUUAAAAAUGCAGAUUUAAAUUUUUUUAAAAAACUUAAGACUAGCAGUCUUGUUACAUGCAUCCAACAUUACUUUUUUUCCAAAAUUAAAGGAAAUUCGAGGAAAAAAGGUGGUUUAGUAAUCACUUUAGAAAAGUCAGUGUCCUUUGUAUCAACAAGGACUGGGAUUAGAGACUUCACACAGUACUCCACUUCUAGCAAAAUGUGUAGGUAACACAUGCGGGCAAAAUGCCGCUAGACUAACACAAGCAACAACAACCUUCCCAUCUUACGCAAGUCACUUUGGAAAGGAAAUACAAUCAAAAUGUGUGACGUAUAUGGGAUAAUUAUUUUCGGAUUAUU
Egretta garzetta (little egret) is the source of this 2719-nucleotide long non-coding RNA. RefSeq lists it as uncharacterized. The transcript has 7 exons. The record is from RefSeq and is a predicted model, not a curated record. Lineage: Eukaryota; Metazoa; Chordata; Aves; Pelecaniformes; Ardeidae.